AUGAUAUGCUUCUUCGCAGUCGAGUGGCACUUUGUAGACCGUGUGGCAAGACAAUUUGGAAAAAGACAAGGUAUUCCAAUUGAGGAGAGCAAGGAGGAAAUGCUAUCUCUGCAUCGGUUCGAUCGAAGGAACAAUCAGGAUAUAUCGGAUUGGGCAAACAAACACCGUGCGUGGAUAGAAAUUUGGAAUCAAAGAGACACGUUAGGGCAAUCAGAGAAUAGACCUUACAAUCAGUCAGCAUAUCAGAAGUAUCAAGUGUGGUAUGCGGAUCGUUACCGGUUAAAGCUGAAGCCAGGUUGGACUCACGAAGAGUGGUCGGAGUUGGUGUCUGAAGACCCGGAGACUGCAGAAGGUUAUCAUACCUUCAACACGGCUAUGAGAGACACCAGAGGGGCUCAUGUUGACUACGCACCGAUGCAUGACGAAAUGGUAGUCUGUUUGACCUAUUCUAACAUACUUGCAUCAUGUUGUCUUCUUUCAAAUACAUAA
RNAcentral lists this ribosomal RNA (489 nucleotides) under Triticum aestivum (bread wheat). RNAcentral's name for it is "partial small subunit ribosomal RNA". Lineage: Eukaryota; Viridiplantae; Streptophyta; Magnoliopsida; Poales; Poaceae. The record is from RNAcentral.